GCUUGCUGUAGGUAAUUGCUGCAUGUGUAUAGUCACUUAGUGAGAUUAAAGGCAAGAAACAACAAAAGAAAAGGCACAGCUGUUUCAGAGAAUGGGCCUUUGAAAAUGUCAAACCUGCAGAAUACUUAAAUCUCAGAACCUUCCCAGUCAUCUCUUUGAGAGCUUGAAGCCAAUCUGGAACCAGAUUCAGCAUCAGGCUUGGACUGGUGCAGGGAGAAUGAAGUGAGGAGCAUCCCCAGCUCAUGCUUGCCAAUUUGAGGUCAAGGGGAGAUGACUGAAAUCAAGAUGAUGAGAACCACUGAAGAAUUCUCCUGCACUUGAUGGGAGCGAUAAACAUGCUGGCAAGAUGCUAAUAAAUGCAGUAGUAUCAAGCAGCUUUCUUCUACUUCAGCAUGAAAGGAAGCCAGAAAGAUGCAUCGCCUACUUUGGCAUCUCAGAGAAGAGCAUGAAGGGCCUGAAUGAAUCCAAAUCCCAGCACCCACAUAGAGCCCUUCAGCACACAAGUGGCUUCACAAGCAAACCAAACCUGAGGAGAAUUUCUGGCACCCCCUUUAGAUACUCUUCAAUAGAGAUGCAUUCAUUUGUUUGGUGAAUUCAAGACUUCCUACUUGAGCUCUUCAUGUCCAAGGAACAACAGAACCUGUUCCCAUGUGGCCAUCUCUGGACAGAUGUUCAGCUAAUGAGAAUGCUUCUGGGAGCAGAGAUCCAAUCCCCCCCCAGGACUGGAGACCACUCUACUUCAGGAGCAGCUGCAGCUGGUGCAGAGUCUACAGGAAAGUGCAGCUCAUCUCUAUUCUUCUGACAUUUCCAGGGCACUGCACUGACUUUGCCCCCAAGGCAAAGUGGCUACUGACACGAAUAUUUGCUUAAUCAGACUGCCACGCUAGGAACCAAUUUUGUUUGAAAUCCUUUUAAUUCUGUUUUGUACAUGCAGCCUUAAGUCCUCAUGCUGGUUAAUGGAGAGUGUUUGGAUGCCCCGUGGCAGCUUGUUAACGCUCUGUUAAUGCCAAUUACAGCAGACCGUGAGUGUGGAGAAUCAGGGUGGUUGCUCUGCUGUGGAAAGGGCAUGGUUGGAGACACAUUUCUGACAACAGUCACAAAAUGCAACAAACUUCUCAGCUGAAGGGCAACAUGUAAUGAAAUAUAGGCUGGCUUUUAGAUUUGUGAUCUACAAGCACCGUGAUGUGAGAUGGGAAAGGUUCAGAACCCUGUUUGGGCACACUGUACAUGAGAUAGGAUGACAGGGCUGCUUGAACUUAGCAUCAAAUGACCUGGUAACUUUUGCUAUGAUGAGUGAUACCAAUGGAGAUGUCAGGUGUAUAUCAUGGCUGCUCUCAAAAUAACACCUAGAGAAAGGUCCUGUAACAACAAAACCUAGAAAAUAGUCUGAGCUGGGAUCACAAGAAAGUCUGAUCUCAUCAUAAGGACAUGCUUGGAUCCAUCCAGCAGCAGAAGUUUGCAAAGGACCAAAGCAAUCCCAGGGUUUGGACUCAGCAAGCCAACAGGCUGUCAAAGGCUGUUCAAAGUUUUCAGUCACUUGGCAAUUUUUAAGCAAUUUUUAUCUGUAAAAAGAGACCACAGUGUUAUAUAAG
This is a long non-coding RNA of Coturnix japonica (Japanese quail), 1592 nucleotides long. The record is from Ensembl. Lineage: Eukaryota; Metazoa; Chordata; Aves; Galliformes; Phasianidae.